Molecule: transfer RNA, 73 nt
Filed under: Mustela putorius furo (domestic ferret)
Lineage: Eukaryota; Metazoa; Chordata; Mammalia; Carnivora; Mustelidae
Also listed under: 1 other name
Rfam family: tRNA
About the family: Transfer RNA (tRNA) molecules are approximately 80 nucleotides in length.
Source: Rfam by way of RNAcentral
AUCUGGCUGGCUCAGUGGGUAGAGCAUAUGACUCUUGAUCUUGGGAUUAUGGGUUUGAGUCCCACGUUAUAUA